Molecule: long non-coding RNA, 2344 nt
Filed under: Venturia canescens
Lineage: Eukaryota; Metazoa; Arthropoda; Insecta; Hymenoptera; Ichneumonidae
Description: uncharacterized LOC122419027, transcript variant X2
Source: RNAcentral
UUCGUGGAAUUUUUUAUAUCCACUCCACUUUUCUCCGGCAUAAUAAAAUACUUUCCUGAAUAAUCAUUAGUGCGUAAACGAAAAUCAUUGUUUGCAACGAGAAUAAAUUUUCUACAGAGCACUGUCACUCGAGCGAACCUUCGAAAGCCGAAAGUUAAUCCAGUUUCGAAAAAUUCUUCGAACGCACUAAAUUAUAUGUAAUCUGCCACCUUGUGAUUACGAUUGACGCGUUAAAGUUUAUCGCUGCUCACGCUCUCGCCGUAAGCGGAAGCCUUAAGUUCAAAGAAGAAAAACAGCCCCCUCCGAGGGCAAUCGCGAUAUAAAAAAGAGUUUUCGCGAUAAGAUCGGCUUGUAUAUUAUACUCGUUACGUUGACUUCCGUGCGGUGAGUUUACUAUCGCGUAUAGGCUCGCCGCAUUUAAGCCAGUCAAGCGGUCAGUAGCACCACCCACGUGCGCUCCAACGUAUACAAAUACAUGUAGCAGAAUGUUGUCGAGCUCAUAUGCAAGUUUCCGGUUUUAGUGAACGCGCGACUCUCGUUAUCGCGGGACUUCGGAGCCAUACGCGAAACGCUGCGCAGUCGAUCCAGAUCAUACGGUCUUUGGCGCACCUCUGCUUUUAGUGUACCAUACCGAAUUCGAGACUAAUCAAAAAGAUUCGUUUUCCGGGUCUUUUGUAACCUCCAUGGCAAUCGGAUUGAGACAAUUCAUUUCGUAUCAUCCUCAACAGCGACAUCAAUCAUCUUUUCAAAAAUCGUCGCAUCAUUUUAGAGAAAAUCAGAAAAGCCACGAUGAAUAUAGAGAAUUUUUCUGCAUUACUCGUAGAGAAUCCACAGGAAACGCUCCUGGGACGUCCGCGUGACGAAACCAAAUUGCCAAAUCGAGAUGCAAAACCAGACUGGAAACGGCCCAACUGUUUUUAUAGAUGGGAAGCUUUAGGAGCGUCCGCGAAUACGAUUCUUGCACAGGGAAGUCUGUAAAGAACUGAGAAGACCUUCUCUGCAGCGUCUUCUCGAAACAGCAGCGCACUUUCAUCGCCAACCGCAUGGCAUCUCGAAUUAAGUGCCAGGCAUCAUAUAAUGAUGAUAAUAAUUACAGUAAUGGUGAGCAUUGUUGCGUCGUCAUUAAAACUGUAACUGAGUUAAAAUAUUGUAUUGAGUCCACUGCCAGCACAUAAGUCCCUCCAUUUGGAACUCGAGCACCAUAAAACAGUUCUAACGAUUACGGUAAUGCAAUUGCAAUUAUAUUUGAAUAAUCAGAUCUCUCUUUUUCAUAGUUAUUCCACUUUCGUCGGUAUACUUUAUUGAACAGAUAAUUAUAAUGAUAUAAAUCGUACAUGAAAAUCCGUAUUGUAAAAUCGUCGCGAGAGAGCCACCGUGCGAGACGAUAUGGGCCCGGAAGCGACACGACGACCACCGGAACCGUACAUAUACUCUUGCACAACGUUCAUUAUAUCCGAGAGAGGCCCGACGGAAUGGAUGGCUUCGGCUCCCCCACGAACUAACGUUUUCACCGUUCUGGCUGACGAAUAAUUUCGCGUUCAUCUCCGGCUAAUCGAACAUCUUUCACCUUGAGGCAGUCAAAUUUUUUAUUAAACAUAAGCCAGCAUUUACUCGAGCGAGGUCAGCUCUCGUUGGAGGUUCAACUGUAACAGCUCCUCUGCAGGAUUUUACGCACCGAUGGAACCGAGACGUGUGGCGAGGGAUCUCGUGUAUGAAUAAAAUAACAGCGUUCCGCUUAUCGUCAAUGCAAACAUCACAGUUUUUAUACUCUUGAGUCUCACCGAAUGGCAGACUCUUAAUCAAGGUAUCCAGGAUCGAUGGACGACGAAGCAACGAGAGGACUAAUUUUUGAGAAACAAACUAAAACGAUCGACCCCAAAACAAUAUUUUUUUGACUUCAAUGCCGUUCCAAGCUUUUCUGGAACAAAAGUUCCCCCGAAAAUCUUCCAAUCGAUUAUUAACGAAAUGGUGCGCUACGAUUUCGUUACACUUUCAUCUCCUCGAAAUAUUUUCCCUUCAUGGAGAUUUCGUAAAGCAUAGACGAAAAAUAGUUCAGCCUAGAACUCCAGGAAGAUCAAGGAACAUUGAAUUUGUCGUUGUUUCGACAAUCUUUCAAAAUAGUCAAUUAUUCGCUCCGUUGAGAAGCUCGUCGGAGUAACCGAAAUAACCAAUUCGACACGAGUGCUCUGGGAAACAUCGGAAUCGACGAAUUCACCAGCAAUGCAGAAUAUAUUUAAUGUAACAACGAAAAUUAUCAUGAUUAUCCAACAAAAUGUAUGGCCCAAUUAGAAUUGCGUUCGAUUUCACAUCGAGAAAUAAAAUAAUGCUGCUGAUUGAAACGAAA